Molecule: long non-coding RNA, 510 nt
Organism: Oncorhynchus tshawytscha (Chinook salmon)
Lineage: Eukaryota; Metazoa; Chordata; Actinopteri; Salmoniformes; Salmonidae
Source: Ensembl
GGAGAGAGAGAUGGACUACAAACUGGGACAGGUAGGAUGGAGAGAGAGAUGGACUACAAACUGGGACAGGUAGGAUGGAAGGAGAGAGAGAUGGGGAACAUGGACUACAAACUGGGACAGGUAGGAUGGAGAGAGAGAUGGACUACAAACUGGGACAGGUAGGAUGGAAGGAGAGAGAGAUGGGCAACAUGGACUACAAACUGGGACAGGUAGGAUGGAGGGAUGGAAGGAGAGAGAGAUGGACUACAAACUGGGACAGGUAGGAUGGAGGGAUGGAAGGAGAGAGGGGGCGGAGGAAAGGGAAGACAGACCAAAUGGCAUAGUUGUGUCCUUCUCUUGCAGAUAUGUUCAGUCUCUCUCUCUCUCUCUCUAAUUCCUCUCCUUUAUUGUCUCUCUCUCUCUAAUUCCUCUCCUUUAUUGUCUCUCUCUCUAAUUCCUCUCCUUUAUUGUCUCUCUCUCUAAUUCCUCUCCUUUAUUGUCUCUCUCUCUCUCUAAUUCCUCUCCUUUAUU